GAUGAACGCUGGCGGCGUGCCUAAUACAUGCAAGUCGAGCGAACGGACGAGAAGCUCUUUCCCUUGAUGUUAGCGGCGGACGGGUGAGUAACACGUGGAUAACCUACUUAUAUUUCUGGGAUAACUUCGUGAAACCGUAGCUAAUACCGGCUAAUACUUUGUACCGCUUGGUUCAAAAGUUAUACACGGUCUUGCCGUCACUUUUAGCUGGAUCCGUCCUGCAUUAGCUAGUUGGUAAGGUAACGGCUUACCAAGGCAACGAUGCGUAGCCGACCUGAGAGGAUGAUCAGCCACACUGGAACUGAGACACGGUCCAGACUCCUACGGGAGGCAGCAGUAGGGAAUCUUCCGCAAUGGGCGCAAGCCUGACGGAGCCACACCGCGUGGGUGAUGAAGGUCUUCGGAUCGUAAAGCUCUGUUGUUGGGAAAGAAAAUAAGUAGGAGUAACUGUGGACAUCUUGACGGUACCUAAUCAGAAAGCAACGGCUAACUACGUG
Molecule: ribosomal RNA, 497 nt
Filed under: uncultured bacterium
Lineage: Bacteria
Description: partial 16S ribosomal RNA
Rfam family: Bacterial small subunit ribosomal RNA
Source: RNAcentral